AAAACAUGUCUCACACGGCCUCCAUCACCUCGCCGCCCUACCCGGCGACGCAUCAUAUAGCGAUCCUCACCACCGUUAGCUCAUCGUCUUCGAAAGUUCCAUCUGACCUGGAUCAAUUCGAUCCAAACAAAAGGUACAAUCCAGUCUUGCGUGUUCCUCUCGGUUUCCAAGUUCAGCAAUCGAUGGUGAUUUAACAGUCCGAUUCUAGCAGCAGGUGCCAAUAAAGGCAUGAUAGUGUGAUGCAAGCAGUCAUGCCCUCUGUUGUCCGGUCAUGCAAGUUGUUCGACUCAUGUCUGCAGACUCUUGAUUCAAAUCUUCCAUCCACAACGUGAAAUUGUCUUUUUAUGUAGCAUGUUGAUGCGUAGCAUGGUCUGUCGGGCAGGCAGGAGCACGGUUUUUUGUAGGCCGAGCUACAUGGUACCCUAUAUCAGGACCGUCUAAAGUGGACUGUGAUGCAUCGAAAUAUGUGGAAAAGUUUGAAAAGUUGCAACUCUGUUAAGAUGAUCAGCGCAUAAUAUACUGGCAGGACGCACUGUUGAUGAUGUGAAAGGACAUCUGCCCCUGGCCUCAUGCCGCACGCCUCUCUCUCACAGUCACAUGCAGCCUCAUGCCGUCUCUCUCUCACAUGCACAGCCUCUGACACAGUCUCUAUCUCAUCUACUAUGAAAAAACCACCGCUUCAUUCAUCUCUCACUUUCUUAAAAAAGUAUGUCUUUUCUCUCACAAGCGCGCGCUCUCUCUCUCUCUUCAAUUUCUCAAAGGUGUCUCUCUCUACUUUGAGAAGGUAAAUUUGAGAAUACAAAGUUUUCUCGACUCUAUUUUUUGUCUUCAUAAAUUUCUCUCUAGUAUCUCAGGCUUUCACACAGGUUAUCUCCGUCUCUAAAAAGUCCAUGUUUUUUCUCUCUAGUUGUGGGGUACUGCCCCACUCUUUCUCUCUCGCAUGUAGGCUGCAACAGCAGUGAGCUAGACAUCGGACAGAGCAUCUACACAGCAGCACGGGACGCACAUGCACCUGCUCGGCUGCUCCCUCUCACAUGCAGUGAAAACAAAUCAGAAAGUGAAAGAGUGAGAGAGAGAGAGAGCGCUACAUGUGCUGACAAACGUCAUUGUGUAUUCACUAACGCCAGCAAGUGGGUGUAAACAAAUGCGGCUGUUGCGGUCUGUUUGCCUCGUGACCACAAGUACUCAAGCGGCGAGGCUUGUGACCACAAGUAGUCAAGCGAAGAGGCAGUGACACGACGGGACAGCGCUGGUGGCACGGGAAAUCUCGCUACUGUUCACGUAGCCCUUCCUUUCAGACUAAAUCUCUCUAUGCUAUAGAGAUUCUACUGCAUAUGCUGGCACUAGCACAGAUCUUCGUAUCAUGACCAACGGUAUAGAUA
This is a long non-coding RNA of Triticum aestivum (bread wheat), 1382 nucleotides long. RefSeq lists it as uncharacterized. Lineage: Eukaryota; Viridiplantae; Streptophyta; Magnoliopsida; Poales; Poaceae. The record is from RefSeq and is a predicted model, not a curated record. The transcript is spliced from 3 exons.